This is an RNA transcript of Nymphaea colorata (pocket water lily), 1205 nucleotides long. RefSeq lists it as uncharacterized. The transcript has 3 exons. Lineage: Eukaryota; Viridiplantae; Streptophyta; Magnoliopsida; Nymphaeales; Nymphaeaceae. The record is from RefSeq and is a predicted model, not a curated record.
GUCAGUGCUGUAUUCUGAGUUUUCAAGCUCAGAAAUGGAAGGAAGAAGUCAAGGUACUGGACAUUUGGCCGAAAACAGUGUUGGUGAGUGGCAGGGAGGAGAUUGGAGAAGUUGCAGGUGAGAAGAUUUUCAUUCUAUCAGUUCGAAGAGAGGAUAGGAAAUGAGCAGCGUCUAAAGAGGGCAGAUAAUGGUAAAGAAGGCUGGAUGGAAGAGAAAGAGAUGAAAUGAGGUAGAAAUGGGGUGGAAAUGGAGCUGCUGAAAACAAGCGCAUGUAGGCUUGGUGAGGUUGCAGAGAGCGUUCGCAUUAUUUCAAAUGACAGAAUGGGGGAGUCAAUGGAGGAGUUUACUAGAAGGAAGGAGGCCUUGGGGCAGCAGCUGGCUGGUGUUUAGAGAAAUGGCAGGAAGGAUUGUGAUUUCUAAUGAAAAAAGGGAGGUGGGCUGAAUGGUGAUGACAGACAUAGUUAUGAAUGGAAGAAAAAGCCGGCAUCUGGCACAUGGGGAGGCCAGGAGUCACGGAGAAGCAUCGUACGGGGACCGCUGAUGGACGGUCGCGCGUUUCACUCGAGGCUCUCCAGGCAGCACAAGUGUCCAUCUCCAUCUUAAAUUACGAAGUCGGUUGUGGAAGGAGGCAGGCCUCUACGCUUCUUCAGUUUAUAAAUAAGAAAGAUAAGCAGGCACGUCAACGGCACAACCCUCUCUCUCCUCUUCUCUCGCUCUUUUGAAAGCAUGGAAGACAGUCUAGUGGACGGUGAGAGUGUCAUUCCUGCGCUGAAUCUGGAGGAGGAAAGUACCUCACCAUCUUCGAAGUCCCCACCAGGUGAAGCACCACCUCAAGGAUCUUCGUCGUCCCCACCACCUGAAGGAAAGGGAGAAAUGAAAGGCGGAGAAAGUGCUGAGAAUGAAGACCUGGAGUGCGAAGGCAUUCCUAACAACAUGCUUUCUCUUUUCCACGUACUUCCUUAUGUCCCAGAAGAGGCGACGCCAGCGUCUGAUGAAGCUUGCAUCCUAAUCUCCACCAUCGUCCAUGACUAGCGACUCUCUCUCUCUCGCGCGCUCUCUCUCGGUGUUGCAUUUUAUGUAAAUUGUGUAAAAAGACGAUGGUAGGAAUGUUUGAACACCCAGCCGACUAGGUUGGUUAAACAUAGAAAAUCCAGGAAUUAUCGUGACCGAAUCAUGGGAGUUUUAACGAGUUAAAAGUGGGCUUA